Cornus florida is the source of this 1689-nucleotide RNA transcript. RefSeq lists it as uncharacterized. NCBI's taxonomy places the organism in Eukaryota, Viridiplantae, Streptophyta, Magnoliopsida, Cornales, Cornaceae. The transcript is spliced from 6 exons. The record is from RefSeq and is a predicted model, not a curated record.
GGCAAAUCAUUUCAGACCACACACACCUACAGACCACACGAUUUUAGGGAAAAUCAUUUCAGCCUCCCAAAUCGCCUCCAUCUCUAUUCUCAUUCUCAACUCUGAACUUGCCCUCUCUCUAUCUCUGCAACUACAAACUACAAAAUCUACAAGAAUCAGAUCAGCCUCCCAGAUCGCCUCCAUCUCUAUUCUCAUUCUUAACUCUGAACUUGCCCUCUCUCUGUCUCUGCAACUACAAACUACAAAAUCUACAAGAAUCAGAACCCAUAUCGGCAUAUCAUUUCAGAUUGUUCAAAAAAUCAAAACCCAUAUCCUUCAGUUUCAUCGCCCGCUAUUCUAGUUCGGGUUCGCCGUUCGAAAGCUUCAGCCUCAGGCCCGUUAUAUCUCAACUCUCAAGCCCUCUCUACUCUCUCAUAAGGAUGACAUUGAGUAAUAACUUGAAGAUCAGCAAUCGACCAAAAUUACAGAACUCUAUAGUAUGCAGCUGUUAGAGCAUGGACCAAAUGGGAAAUGAUGACUGCUCAUCUUCUUCCAAAUGAAGAGAAUAUCAAGAAAGGGGAUGAUGAUAAGUUUUCAUUGGCAUUCGCAAGAAUUGAGAACCAUUACUUUGUGCUGGUAAUGUAAUUGCAUUCACAUAUUUAGAUGAUAUCUGAGAUUUUGCAAAUUUUGCUUUUAGAUGCUUAACAAAUAACAUGAAAAAGCUGAGGAUUCAAAGCCAGCAACAGUUCCAUCUAUCGCGGGAAGUUGAACAUAGGCUUUUGUUGGAGCUUGGUUUUUAAAGCAUGAAGAGCUAAGUGAUAGGAAAAGGGUAACCUGUUGUAUGCCUUCAUUUGGGGGUUCUCAUUCAUGACAAUUAUUAAAUUAUUUAGUUCAUCUCAGUACGGCUAGGUGUUUUCUGCUCUUUUAAUAAUGUACUGUGCUUUUUCUUUUUCUUUUUCUUCUUUUUUUAUUUUUAUUUUUUUAUUUUAUUUUUUAAAGUAUUGAGACUGGAAUUGGGUCUUCAAGCUCUUAUCGACUUGACAGAUUGCAGGGGGGAGAUAACAGCUUACUUUUGCUCUCUCCCUCAAGCUAAUACAAGCAAGGAUGUAGACUUAUAGAUCCCAACAGACACAAAGCAGUGGCAGCAACCUCCUUUAAUAACACCUAUUAAAUCAAUGAGUAGUGAACCUCUUUGUGUGCAGCUAUAUUUGGAACAUCCAAGUUUCUUUGAACCAAAAGCCUUAAGGAGAGCAGCCACUGCAAUCACUAUAAAGCAGGCUACAAAAAGAAAGCCACCUCUGCUGGAUCAGUCUUGGAGGGCUCAGGAUCUUCUAGGAGCUCAGUGCCAUCAACGAUUAUGAAUGAGUCUCCAUCGGAAAAUGAAAGAAAGCUGCAUGUGAAAACUGAGGUCAAAGAUAGGAUUGCGGGUUGCGGUUGCCGUUACUUUUUUUGUUGCAGCUAUAUUUUUUGUAUGGCUCAUGAAGAAGUUGCAAGAAGAUAUGAAGAAUUUUUGUUUUAUUUUGGUUAAGUAAAUAUAUAAGGUGUGGAUCAUGUAUUUAUUUGAAAUUUGUAUAUGGCUAAUUUUUGUAUAAAACAAUGGUUUGGAAUUGGUUAUAUAUAUAUAUAUAUAUAUAUAUAUAUAUAUAUAUAUGAUGUUAUUGGUCAGUUGUAAAUUAUUUUGGUUAUGAUGCUAUUUUUUAUUUAUUUAGA